Molecule: ribosomal RNA, 340 nt
Filed under: uncultured Alphaproteobacteria bacterium
Lineage: Bacteria; Pseudomonadati; Pseudomonadota; Alphaproteobacteria
Description: bacterial SSU rRNA
Rfam family: Bacterial small subunit ribosomal RNA
Source: RNAcentral
AACGAACGCUGGCGGCAGGCCUAAUACAUGCAAGUCGAGCGCGCCUUCGGGUGAGCGGCGGACGGGUGAGUAACGCGUGGGAAUGUGCCCUUCUCUGCGGAAUAGCCUCUGGAAACGGAGAGUAAUACCGCAUACGCCCUUUGGGGGAAAGAUUUAUCGGAGAAGGAUCAGCCCGCGUUAGAUUAGGUAGUUGGUGGGUAAUGGCCUACCAAGCCUACGAUCUAUAGCUGGUUUGAGAGGAUGAUCAGCCACACUGGGACUGAGACACGGCCCAGACUCCUACGGGAGGCAGCAGUGGGGAAUAUUGCACAAUGGGGGAAACCCUGAUGCAGCCAUGCCG